UACAGAGGUCCCGAGCGUUGUUCGGAUUCACUGGGCGUAAAGGGUGCGCAGGUGGGUUUGCAAGUUUGAUGUGAAAGCCCCGGGCUUAACCCGGGAAUGGCAUUGAAUACUGCAGAUCUGGAGGAUUGGAGGGGGGACUGGAAUUCUUGGUGUAGCAGUGAAAUGCGUAGAUAUCAAGAGGAACACCAGUGGCGAAGGCGAGUCCCUGGACAGUACCUGACACUGAGGCACGAAAGCCAAGGGAGCAAACAGG
Molecule: ribosomal RNA, 253 nt
Filed under: uncultured bacterium
Lineage: Bacteria
Description: partial 16S ribosomal RNA
Rfam family: Bacterial small subunit ribosomal RNA
Source: RNAcentral